This 253-nucleotide ribosomal RNA is filed under the name uncultured bacterium. RNAcentral describes it as "partial 16S ribosomal RNA". It matches the Rfam family "Bacterial small subunit ribosomal RNA", at positions 524 to 776 of the family's 1533-position model. The record is from RNAcentral.
UACAGAGGGGGCGAGCGUUAUUCGGAAUCAUUGGGCGUAAAGGGCGCGUAGGCGGCCGUGCAAGUCUUGGGUGAAAUCCCUCGGCUCAACCGAGGAACUGCCCUGGAAACUGCACGGCUCGAGGCCGGGAGAGGAUGGUGGAAUUCCCAGUGUAGCGGUGAAAUGCGUAGAUAUUGGGAGGAACACCGGUGGCGAAGGCGGCCAUCUGGACCGGUCCUGACGCUGAGGCGCGAAAGCGUGGGGAGCAAACAGG